Melospiza melodia melodia is the source of this 5412-nucleotide RNA transcript. It is a transcript of the gene named PWWP domain containing 2A, with no coding region annotated. The record is from RefSeq and is a predicted model, not a curated record. The transcript is spliced from 5 exons. NCBI's taxonomy places the organism in Eukaryota, Metazoa, Chordata, Aves, Passeriformes, Passerellidae.
GAAAAUGGCGGCCAUGGCUGCGGAGGCGGCGGCGACUGCGGCGGUGCCGGGGGACGGCGGGGCCGGCGAGGCCGAGCCCGAGAUGGAGCCGAUCCCGGGCAGCGAGGCCGGUGCGGACCCUCUACCGGCCGUCAGCGAGGCCGUGGAGUCGGCGGUGCCGGAUGGCGAGGAGGCCGACGGCGGCAAGGCCGAGGAGCCGCCACCGGUGCAGCGCGCCCGGAGCCCCGGCGGGACUCGCGAGCCGGACGCGGGAAGGACGGAGGAGCCGCCGCCGCCGCCGCGCAGCCCGGGGGUGGAAUCGCCGCGGGCCGAGCCCCGCGCAGCGCCCAGCCCGGGCUGCUCGGAGCCGCCGCAGCCCUGCCCGCCGCUGGAGCCGGCCCGGGAGCCGCCGCAGCCCUGCCCGCCGGCUGCCGGGGGCUCCGCGGGGCCCGGGGAGGAGCCGCCCCGGCCGGAGGAGGAGGAGCCGGAUGCUGCUGCUGCUGCCGCCGCCGCCGCGGUGGAGCCCGAGCCGGCGGUGCCCGCGGCCCCGGGCGGAGGGGAGGCGGAGGUGCCGGCGCUGCUGCCCGGCUCCGAGGUGCGGGUCACCCUGGACCACAUCAUCGAGGACGCCCUGGUGGUCUCGUUCCGGCUGGGAGAGAAGCUUUUUUCCGGGGUCCUCAUGGACCUCUCGAAAAGGUUUGGCCCCCAUGGAAUCCCUGUGACCAUAUUUCCUAAAAGGGAGUACAAGGACAAACCUGAAGCCAUGCAGCUCCAAAGCAAACCAUUCCAAGAGGAGGUGCAGGUGAAGUGCGAGGCCGACGCCGCGGUCCCUGAUGACUCCUCGCUCACGCAGCCCUCAGAGCCCAGCAUAGCUAAAAGCCUUUGGACUUCUAAACCACCUCCCCUCUUUCACGAGGGAGCUCCCUACCCUCCUCCUUUGUUUAUCAGGGACACCUACAACCAGUCAAUACCUCAGCCUCCACCCCGGAAAAUCAAGCGGCCCAAGCGGAAAAUGUACAGGGAGGAACCCACUUCCAUCAUGAACGCCAUCAAGCUACGGCCCCGGCAGGUGCUGUGUGACAAGUGCAAAAACAGCGUGGUGGCAGAGAAAAAGGAGAUCAAGAAAGGUGGCAAUGCAAGUGACUCUUCCAAAUACGAGGACAGUAAAAAGCGAAGAAACGAGAGCGUGACUACUGUGAAUAAAAAACUUAAGACUGACCACAAGGUGGAUGGAAAAAGCCAAAACGAAAGCCAGAAAAGGAACGCUGUGGUCAAGGUUUCAAAUAUUGCCCACAGCAGAAGCAGAGUAGUUAAAGUUUCCGCACAAGCAAAUACUUCAAAAGCGCAGUUAAACACAAAAAAAGUUCUCCAGAGCAAAAACAUGGAUCAUGCAAAAGCUCGGGAAGUCUUGAAAAUGGCCAAAGAAAAGGCACAAAAGAAGCAGAGUGCAACCUCCUCUUCCAAAAAUGCACAUUCAAAGGUCCACUUCACGCGGCGUCUUCAGAACACCAGCUCAGGGUCCCUCCCGCCCCGGUUGCGCCUAAAGCCGCAGCGGUACCGCAACGAAGAGAAUGACUCUUCCCUCAAGACAGGACUUGAGAAAAUUCGGAGCGGCAAGAUGGCAACUAAGCCCCAGUCUCGCUGCUCCUCCACCCGCUCAGCAGGUGAGGCCCCUUCAGAAACCCAGAGCCCCUCAGAAGGCCCCGAAGAGGCCAGCAGUGAGGUUCAGGACACGAGUGAAGUGCAUGUAACUGUUGAUCAGGAUGACCAGCAGACACUGGGCAAGAGAGGCAGCAAAAGCAAUAUAACGGUUUACAUGACCCUUAAUCAAAAGAAAUCUGACUCUUCCAGUGCAUCAGUUUGUAGUAGUGAUAGCACAGAUGAUUUGAAAUCCACCAACUCUGAGUGUAGCUCUACUGAAAGCUUUGAUUUUCCUCCAGGCAGCAUGCAUGCACCUUCCUCCUCCUCCUCCUCUUCCUCCUCCUCCUCCUCUUCGAAGGAAGAGAAAAAGCUCAGUAAUUCCUUGAAAACAGAAGUCUUUUCCAAAAACGUCUCUAAAUGUGUCACACCAGAUGGCAGGACCGUAUGUGUAGGGGACAUUGUUUGGGCCAAGAUUUAUGGCUUCCCUUGGUGGCCGGCCCGUAUCCUUACCAUAACGGUGAGCCGCAAGGAUAGCGGGCUGCUGGUGCGCCAGGAGGCUCGCAUCUCGUGGUUCGGCUCCACCACCACCUCCUUCCUGGCUCUUGCACAGCUCUCCCCCUUUUUAGAAAGCUUCCAGGUGCGCUUUAAUAAGAAGAGAAAGGGUCUGUACCGCAAGGCCGUCACUGAGGCAGCCAAGGCUGCCAAGCAGCUCACGCCCGAGGUGCGGGCCCUGCUGACGCAGUUUGAGACGUGAACGUGGAGAGUAAGGCAAAGGAAGGAGGAACAAAGGCAGGAGCUGAGGAUGGACAACUCCAGCUGGAAAGGAGGCACAUGCUGGUUACCAGGAGGAAAUUCCCCAGUCUCCAGCUGAGAACGAAUAUUUGCAGCUCCCCAGGCUUUCAAAGGGGUGAAGCAGGAACAGAGUGGAAGGAACAGAAAUCCUGUCCCUGGAGCAGCAGGUUGGAAAAGGCCACUGGUAACUGGGCACAAGAGCCAGCCACAGGCCAAAGGGACGCAGCACCAAAUUGCCCAGAUCCUUCAGUUUGCCUGCAGUGACAUUCCAAGAGAACACAGUGAGAGCUGAGCAGAGGAAAAUCCCAUGGAAUUCCACCCAGCUACAGCCCAGCCCUGCUGAUUUAUCCAGCACAGGUAAAUGCUGAGGAAAUCUCUGCAUUUUGUUAAUAUUCAGGCUCUUAGGAGAAUCAAAAAUCACUGUUAAAUAUGCACAGAGUAUGAGAGUUAAUAAAGUCCUGUCAGUAUAAGGAUCACACAUGAUUCCUGACUCUGGAAAAUGGAUCUUGCUACAGCUGUAAGAGGGGAAGGACAACAAAAGGACAUCCUUUAAAAAAAUCCUAUAUAGAAAUUACAGAAUAGAUAAAGUGAAACAGGAAGCAGAGGUAACAACUUCACUGCUGGCUGAACACAAACCCCUGGCAUGACAACACAAAGGAAGAAGAUGGCCAGUUUUCAAAGAAAAACAUUCUUUUCCUCCUGGUUUCAAUGUAGAACUGUAGAUUUCCCAAAGGAAAAGCAGAAGUUUGGACAAGUUGAAGCCUUCUCAAGGUUUGCCUCCCCAGGCAUACCCCAUCUCUCCAAAAGCUCCCACCUGCACUGAUCCUCAGGGAAUGGGUUUUGUUUUGCUGAGAGCUGAGUGUGACAACAGAAAUUGCUGCCAUGGAAAAUCCACUGAGCAGCUGCAGCAGCCAAGGGCCUGGAACACCUGGGAAUGCCACAGCUAUUCCUGCCUGGAGGGGCUUGGAGUCCUGAGAACCCCCUGGGACUGUGCUCACCUCCCCUGGGCCUCUGGGGCAAGUGAAAUCCUGGAAUUUGGGCUGGAAGGGACCUCAAAAAUCAUCUAUUCCACCCCUGCCAUGUCAGGGGCACCUCACACUGUCCCAGGUGCUCCCAGCCCUGUCCAGCCUGGCCUGGGACACUGCCAGGGAUCCAGGGGCAGCCAGAGCUGCUCUGGGCACCUGUGCCAGGGCCUGCCCACCCUCACAGGGAAGGAUUUCUUCCCAGUAUCUGGAAAAAGAAAACCCUGAGCCCACCAAAGCAAAUGGGUUGGGAGACACAAAUUUCCUUCAACUUGACUUUUUUAAUGGGAAUUCACAGAUGAGGUGGUCCAGCAGCAGCUCAGGUAGGAUUAAACUCUUUGUACAUCUUUAUUAUUUUUUAAGGUACACCUGUUGAAGAUGACAUUCAUCCCUUUAUGCAGCACCCUGAAAGUAUUUUUGGUAGCAUCUGUCUGAGUGACAUGAAGAGGUUUUUUUGUACUUCUGGACAAACAUUUGGCCAGGGCUGAGCUUCAGGUCUGGGGUGAGCAUUGUCUCAGUGGAGAAUCCUGCAGAAUCUGGCGUGGCUGGAGCCCCCCAGCACUGCAGCUGGGCAGGAGAGCAGAGCUUGCCUGGCAGGACACUGGAGAGGUUUCCUCCAAUUGCAGGGAGCUGGAUGCUCUUUUCCAAACCCAUAAACACCCCCUGCAGCUGGAGCAGCUCCCCAGCACAGCAGGGCUUGGGGCUUUAUGAUAAUUCCAGCAGCACAUCCCAGCUCACCUUCCUGCUCUGUCCCUCCCCAGGCAGGCUUGGGGCAGCCACACUGAAUUAAUUGUUAAUGAGGCAAAGAAAGCCUUGGCUUUUCCGGGCACUCCAGCCCAGAGCUGCUGCUGCUGUCCUGGCACACACAGAGCCAGCAUUGUAGGGGAGCUCUGUCUCCUCCUCCCACAGCUCCUUUCAGCCCUAAAUUAAGGGCUGUAGUGAACUGCAACCCCCUCCUAAAGAAAAGCUCCCUCACAGCCUGUGCUGGGAGGAAGGAAAAGGCACCACGUGGAGCUGGGACUCAGCUGCAGAGGCUGCCCAGCCUCCACCACUCCCUGUCCCCAAGCAGGGUCACCCUCUCCUCCCUCUGCCCUUAUUCUCACACAUUUUGCUCUUUUUCCUUCAAACACACCCUGUUUAUUUUCCACCUGCAACUCCAGCACAUUCAGGUUUUUCACCAAAGCAAAUAUUCAGAGGUUAACAAGAAAACAGAACUGUAAAAAUCAAUUUAGGGCUCAGAAGUCUGUGAUUCAUUACUCACCUAAACUGCAAUUCAACACCCUAUUGAAAGAGGCAGAUGCAGGAAAAGAUUACUCACAAUUUACAUUAAGAUGUAACAGCCAAAAUUAAUUGCUAUUCAGUCUUUCUGGCAAUAAUUCUGGCUUAGUUGCUGGUGUUAAUGUGAGGUUUGGAAGUUGAAAAGCUCCAUCUUGCUUGUGUAAAGAAUUCUUUUGGAGAAAAGACAAAUUUCCUGAUGAGGUCUCUUCUCUGUGUAACUUCUUGUAUUACCAAUAUUUUUAAGCAAUUAAAAGAGCAAGGGCAAAUCCUUCUCCCUUCCCUAAAUGGUAAAUGACGACUGAACUGUAACUGUAAUUUGGCUCUGAUUUAACUACUUAAAAUCACCUUGUGCAGGGUUGGGGUUUAGCAGCUCAGUUGCAAACACAACAUAAUUGUCAAUAGAAAAAAAAAAACCAAACCCAAAUAAACCCCAUAAUUCUUUAGGCACAAAGCCUGAUAAAUGUCUUCGCUGAUCUCAGGUAGCUGGAAAAAUCUCUUUUGGGCAGGAAGGCCCAGGUGAGGAGCUCUGGCCCUCAGACUGCUAAAACCAUUCCAAAGCCCCCCUCUCCUCACACCCUCUCCCCAAAGGAGUGCUCCCAGAUAUCACAAUAAUUAUAAAAGUCUCUGAACAAGACUGCAAAUCAUUGGCCUUAAGGAGAGAAACACAAAACACCCCAGAGAAUGGUCACUGGUCACACCC